CUACUUCAGUACUGGAAGAAGAGCCAGCUCCACCAUGAGUGAGGGUGAGGGUGAUUCUCCAGCGGGAAAUCAGGGUACCGACACUAUAGAAAGAGAAAAGAAUGCUGAAUAUUGAAAAGCAGUAAAAGUGCUUUACUUUCUGCAUUGGACAUACCUCGUUAUUUGGAAUGUCCAGAUGGAGAACACUUCGUAAGUGGUUUGAAAUAUGAAAUUGAAACCUACGUACAAUAGAACUGGACAUGCAGUUUAAUCCAGGCUGUGUCAAUAAGAGAGCUCCUUCCUUUUUCUGACUCCUCAAAUUGGAGAAGAUGGAACAGACUCAGUCAACGUGGGCUGCUGAGAUGGGCUGCACAUCUCUGGGGACCAGCUUUCACUGGAAUUCAGAGAACCUGAAAAUGGUACCCCUAGAGUUGUAAGAUACCAGCCCUGGAUUCAGAAAUUCUUCUUCACAUAAGAACAGGAGUCUUUACCUAGACAUAGGGAACCUGGCUGACUAUGGUAUUAACUCUCCUUCUACAGGUUGGAAAAUUCAAAAGCCUCCCCAUGCUUUUAUAAAAUGGCUCAUCUUACUUCAGACACUUACUUAC
Molecule: long non-coding RNA, 587 nt
Filed under: Homo sapiens (human)
Lineage: Eukaryota; Metazoa; Chordata; Mammalia; Primates; Hominidae
Description: HSALNT0043106
Source: RNAcentral